This 395-nucleotide unclassified non-coding RNA is filed under the name soil metagenome. Its description in RNAcentral is "partial contains 5.8S ribosomal RNA, internal transcribed spacer 2, and large subunit ribosomal RNA". The stretch from base 1 to 122 matches the Rfam family "5.8S ribosomal RNA", at positions 35 to 154 of the family's 154-position model. The record is from RNAcentral.
GAUGAAGAACGCAGCGAAAUGCGAUACUUGGUGUGAAUUGCAGAAUCCCGUGAACCAUCGAGUCUUUGAACGCAAGUUGCGCCCGAAGCCAUUAGGCCGAGGGCACGCCUGCCUGGGUGUCACACACCGUUACCCUCGCGCCAACGUCCAUCGUUGGCCGCGGCGCGGGGCGUGCGCUGACCUCCCGCGAGCGGGGUCUCGUGGUUGGUUGAAAAUCGAGUUCGCGGUCGAGGGUGCCGUGAUGAAAUGGUGGAUGAUGAUGCACGAGGCCAAUCACGCGCGACUCUGUCCGGCUCGGACUCCUGGACCCCUUCGGCGUCUCCGGACGCUCUUUGGCGAGACCUCAGGUCAGGCGGGGCUACCCGCUGAGUUUAAGCAUAUCAAUAAGCGGAGGA